CCUACGGGAGGCAGCAGUAGGGAAUUUUCGUCAAUGGGCGCAAGCCUGAACGAGCAAUGCCGCGUGAACGAGGAAGGUCUUCGGAUCGUAAAGUUCUGUUGAAGGGGAAAAAGAGCGGAGAGAGGAAAUGCUUUCUGAUUGAUAUUACCCUUCGAGGAAGUCACGGCUAACUACGUGCCAGCAGCCGCGGUAAUACGUAGGUGGCGAGCGUUAUCCGGAAUGAUUGGGCGUAAAGGGUGCGUAGGCGGCCUGCUAAGUCUGGAGUGAAAGGUCACGGCGCAACCGGUACAGGCUCUGGAAACUGGCGGGCUAGGGAGCAGGAGAGGGCGGUGGAACCCCAUGGGGAGCGGGAAAAUGCG
Molecule: ribosomal RNA, 359 nt
Filed under: uncultured bacterium
Lineage: Bacteria
Description: partial 16S ribosomal RNA
Rfam family: Bacterial small subunit ribosomal RNA
Source: RNAcentral